GAGACACCCCUAUGGAGCAGGACUUGCUUCAGUGGGGCUUUGGUGCUCACUGAGUCUUCCCCUUGAGUCUGUUGCU
Non-coding RNA from Myotis brandtii (Brandt's bat), 76 nucleotides. NCBI's taxonomy places the organism in Eukaryota, Metazoa, Chordata, Mammalia, Chiroptera, Vespertilionidae. The record is from Rfam.